GGGCGUAUAGCUCAGCGGGAGAGCACUGUGUUGACAUCGCAGGGGUCGCUGGUUCAAUCCCAGCUACGCCCACCA
Molecule: transfer RNA, 75 nt
Filed under: Magnetospira thiophila
Lineage: Bacteria; Pseudomonadati; Pseudomonadota; Alphaproteobacteria; Rhodospirillales; Thalassospiraceae
Also listed under: 1 other name
Description: tRNA-Val
Rfam family: tRNA
About the family: Transfer RNA (tRNA) molecules are approximately 80 nucleotides in length.
Source: RNAcentral